UAGGGAAUCUUCCGCAAUGGACGCAAGUCUGACGGAGCAACGCCGCGUGAGUGACGAAGGAUUUCGGUUCGUAAAACUCUGUUGUUAGAGAAGAACAGCGCAUAGAGUAACUGUUAUGCGUGUGACGGUAUCUAACCAGAAAGCCACGGCUAACUACGUGCCAGCAGCCGCGGUAAUACGUAGGUGGCAAGCGUUGUCCGGAUUUAUUGGGCGUAAAGCGUGCGCAGGCGGUCAAUUAAGUCUGAUGUGAAAGCCCCCGGCUCAACCGGGGAGGGUCAUUGGAAACUGGUUGACUUGAGUGCAGAAGAGGAGAGUGGAAUUCCAUGUGUAGCGGAGAAAUGCGUAGAUAUAUGGAGGAACACCAGUGGCGAAGGCGACUCUCUGGUCUGUAACUGACGCUGAGGCUCGAAAGCGUGGGUAGCAAACAGG
Molecule: ribosomal RNA, 429 nt
Filed under: Bacteroidota bacterium
Lineage: Bacteria; Pseudomonadati; Bacteroidota
Description: Bacteroidetes bacterium partial 16S ribosomal RNA
Rfam family: Bacterial small subunit ribosomal RNA
Source: RNAcentral